This 422-nucleotide unclassified non-coding RNA is filed under the name soil metagenome. RNAcentral's name for it is "partial contains 5.8S ribosomal RNA, internal transcribed spacer 2, and large subunit ribosomal RNA". The stretch from base 1 to 120 matches the Rfam family "5.8S ribosomal RNA", at positions 35 to 154 of the family's 154-position model. The record is from RNAcentral.
GAUGAAGAACGUAGCGAAAUGCGAUAAGUAAUGUGAAUUGCAGAAUUCAGUGAAUCAUCGAAUCUUUGAACGCACCUUGCGCCCUUUGGUAUUCCGAGGGGCAUGCCUGUUUGAGUGUCAUUAAAUACCAUCAACCCUCUUUUGACUUCGGUCUCGAGAGUGGCUUGGAAGUGGAGGUCUGCUGGAGCCUAACGGAGCCAGCUCCUCUUAAAUGUAUUAGCGGAUUUCCCUUGCGGGAUCGCGUCUCCGAUGUGAUAAUUUCUACGUCGUUGACCAUCUCGGGGCUGACCUAGUCAGUUUCAAUAGGAGUCUGCUUCUAACCGUCUCUUGACCGAGACUAGCGACUUGUGCGCUAACUUUUGACUUGACCUCAAAUCAGGUAGGACUACCCGCUGAACUUAAGCAUAUCAAUAAGCGGAGGA